UACGUAGGGUGCGAGCGUUGUCCGGAACUACUGGGCGUAAAGAGCUCGUAGGUGGUUUGUCGCGUUGUUCGUGAAAACUCACAGCUUAACUGUGGGCGUGCGGGCGAUACGGGCAGACUGGAGUACUGCAGGGGAGACUGGAAUUCCUGGUGUAGCGGUGGAAUGCGCAGAUAUCAGGAGGAACACCGGUGGCGAAGGCGGGUCUCUGGGCAGUAACUGACGCUGAGGAGCGAAAGCGUGGGGAGCGAACAGG
Molecule: ribosomal RNA, 253 nt
Filed under: uncultured bacterium
Lineage: Bacteria
Description: partial 16S ribosomal RNA
Rfam family: Bacterial small subunit ribosomal RNA
Source: RNAcentral